Molecule: ribosomal RNA, 253 nt
Filed under: uncultured bacterium
Lineage: Bacteria
Description: partial 16S ribosomal RNA
Rfam family: Bacterial small subunit ribosomal RNA
Source: RNAcentral
UACGAAGGGGGCUAGCGUUGCUCGGAAUCACUGGGCGUAAAGCGCACGUAGGUGGAUCGCUAAGUCAGGGGUGAAAUCCUGGAGCUCAACUCCAGAACUGCCUUUGAUACUGGCAAUCUCGAGUCCGGGAGAGGUGAGUGGAAUUGCGAGUGUAGAGGUGAAAUUCGUAGAUAUUCGCAAGAACACCAGUGGCGAAGGCGGCUCACUGGCCCGGUACUGACGCUGAGGUGCGAAAGCGUGGGGAGCAAACAGG